RNAcentral lists this unclassified non-coding RNA (329 nucleotides) under soil metagenome. RNAcentral's name for it is "partial contains 5.8S ribosomal RNA, internal transcribed spacer 2, and large subunit ribosomal RNA". The stretch from base 1 to 120 matches the Rfam family "5.8S ribosomal RNA", at positions 35 to 154 of the family's 154-position model. The record is from RNAcentral.
GAUGAAGAACGUAGCGAAAUGCGAUAAGUAGUGUGAAUUGCAGAAUUCAGUGAAUCAUCGAAUCUUUGAACGCACAUUGCGCCCCUUGGUAUCCCGAGGGGCAUGCCUGUUCGAGCGCCAUUUCACCACUCAAGCCUGGCUUGGUGUUGGGCGACGUCCUCUUUGGGGACGCGCCUCGAAACGCUCGGCGGCGUGGCACCGGCUUUAAGCGUAGCAGAAUCUUUCGCUUUGGAAGUCGGGGCCCCGUCUGCCGGAAGACCUGCUCGCAAGGUUGACCUCGGAUCAGGCAGGGAUACCCGCUGAACUUAAGCAUAUCAAUAAGCGGAGGA